Molecule: long non-coding RNA, 991 nt
Filed under: Zea mays
Lineage: Eukaryota; Viridiplantae; Streptophyta; Magnoliopsida; Poales; Poaceae
Description: long non-coding RNA (ZMAY_LNC004898)
Source: RNAcentral
AGAAGUCCACCACCUGUUUUUGACACCCAACUUAGUGCACCAAUAUCACAUAAUAGCCCAAAAACAACGCCGCACCUACGCGCAAUCUCAAACCCCGCCGCGGGUAACAAUUCUCCCCACACCCAUCAAACUGCAGCGGCGCUGCUUAACGAUUCCAUAAAUUUAAAAUUAAGGCAGCACUGGUGACAAACAAAAACUCCAGAGACAACUACAUAAAAUUCCCCACAAGUUUUGUAUACAAUUUAUGAUUAAAUUCUAACAUCUAAUUACCCCUAAACGGUCCACAAGAUAAACCCAGCAAUCUGUUUUUCCUCUUUUGGGCAGCGACAUACCCGGAUUCAAACAGCGAUAACUUUUAAAAUAUAAUUCCGAAUCGAGCGCAUAAGUACUUGUUGGAAAGGUAAGACAAAGCCCUACAUGAUUCUCAUAAUUAUUAACACUAAUUACCCACGAAACAUUUCUAGAAACUGCUAACACUGCUGCUGUUCGUCCACCUGAAAAAUCUGUUUUUUGGACAGCCACAUACCCGGAUUCAAAUGGCGAUAUCUUUUAAUUUAUAACUCCGAAUUGAGCGCAUAAAUACUCGUUGGAAAGGUAUGCCAAAGUUCUACAUGAUUCCCAAACUGAUUCCCAUUAACUUCCCACGAAAAAACCCAAAAACUGCUAGAAUUAUUGCUGUUCGUCCGCCACCUAAAAUUCUGGACAGCCCCUCUACCCAAUCGCAUACGCCACAUCUAAUCAAUUGGAUUGCAGCACAAAUAAACAAGAGAUAAAAAACAAAAAUCACCUUGGGUUCUCCCCCUUUACUUCCUCCCUUCUUCCCUCCACCGAAAACAAUCGAAGAUUUGCACCACGCGACGUAGAUCUGAGCGGCAACGAAAAGCACCUUGGGAGGAGGAGAUGGGGGGCGGCGGCUAGGGUUUGGUGUGUGGCUGCAAGAGUUUGGAAAAGGAGGAGAUGAGAGGAGGGGGGGGCGGCCAAAGGUGGGGAG